GGGAUCAACAUGGAUGAAUUAUAUAAGAUCAGACAUCAUAAAGUACAAUCGAUUUAAGUGCAAAGACUAUGUUCACACUUGUGCCUUGAUCAAUUCAUGGAUGCAAACAAAGUUUAACAGGGCAAAGGGGGCUUAAAAAAUGAGACCGAGCACAUCACCAAAAAAAAUGCUUCCCAGGCAGGCAAUAAUCUCCCAAGCACAAAUUACAACAGUACAAGCCCAAGUUCUGAUGGUCUUAAAACAUGCUUUAUUCGAUAGUUGUAGAGAUAGUAGUGGAGUUGCCCAUCACCGGGGCCAAACUUUAGUUCCUUCAAGAAAGUUUCGUUAUGCAUAACAUCUAGAGCAUUGAAAACGUCAAAAUCCUUUUUCUUAGCCACUAUGAGAGCAUCAUUCAUCAACUGAAUCCAUGGAGUUUUAGUUGAAACGUUGUAAUAAGAAUAAGCAGCCUUCAGAGUGGAAUAAUUCUGAUUACCAAGAAUUGAUGAAGGGAGGGUGUAAAAACUGCAGAAGUCAGUGAUUUCAUGAGACUCGGGGCUUUCAACCAGAUAGCUGUCAACAACACCCUCCUUUGGCAGAAGUCAGUGAUUUCAUGAGACUCGGGGCUUUCAACCAGAUAGCUGUCAACAACACCCUCCUUUGGCAGAAGCCAGUGCUCUACGUCAUUCUCAUCAAAAUCAGGUGCAACCACAAAGUGCUUCAAGUAAUCCCUAAGCAAUCGAGUAACAGCAGGAACAUCAUGGAGCUCCAUCUUUCUGAACCCAGGUGUGACGGUCUGAUCAGGUAACUUGUAAAGCUUUAUUGUGCGGCUCAUUGUCAUCCUCGCACCAAGCCUAGAAAAUCCGACAUCGAUAAGCUUCUUUGGAUUCAAAGAUCUA
Molecule: unclassified non-coding RNA, 875 nt
Filed under: Hevea brasiliensis (rubber tree)
Lineage: Eukaryota; Viridiplantae; Streptophyta; Magnoliopsida; Malpighiales; Euphorbiaceae
Source: RNAcentral